This 194-nucleotide ribosomal RNA is filed under the name uncultured bacterium. RNAcentral's name for it is "partial 16S ribosomal RNA". It matches the Rfam family "Bacterial small subunit ribosomal RNA", at positions 338 to 524 of the family's 1533-position model. The record is from RNAcentral.
CCUACGGGAGGCAGCAGUGGGGAAUAUUGCACAAUGGGCGCAAGCCUGAUGCAGCCAUGCCGCGUGUGUGAAGAAGGCCUUCGGGUUGUAAAGCACUUUCAGUUGUGAGGAAAGGAGUGUAGUUAAUAACUGCAUUCUGUGACGUUAGCAACAGAAGAAGGACCGGCUAACUCCGUGCCAGCAGCCGCGGUAAU